RNAcentral lists this long non-coding RNA (282 nucleotides) under Brachypodium distachyon (stiff brome). Its description in RNAcentral is "long non-coding RNA (BDIS_LNC004367)". Lineage: Eukaryota; Viridiplantae; Streptophyta; Magnoliopsida; Poales; Poaceae. The record is from RNAcentral.
ACGGCUGCGGCCGAGGCGUUGGACGACGGAGGAGAGGAGGUGCUGGACGGCGGAGGAGAGAGGUAGAUGUGGGUCGCAGGGGAGGGGAGGAGGCGCUGGGCGCUAGGGAAGAGGUCAGGGAGGAGGAGAGCAGCUCGGAUUCUUAGAGGGAGGGAGGGUGGCGGCUGGGAUUGGGAGCAGAUCGAGGCAGAGGAGAGGAGAGGAGGAGGAUAUCGUGGGGGAGAAGAGGACUGGAGGAGGAAGAGGGGUCGUGGGGAGAAGAUAGGAUAUGAAGGAAAUAGG